GGAAGCGUGGCCGAGUGGUUUAAGGCGCUGGUCUUGAAAACCAGAGAUGGUUACAUCCGUGAGUUCGAAUCUCACCGCUUCCGCCA
RNAcentral lists this transfer RNA (86 nucleotides) under Deltaproteobacteria bacterium. Its description in RNAcentral is "tRNA-Ser". It matches the Rfam family "tRNA". Rfam says of the family: Transfer RNA (tRNA) molecules are approximately 80 nucleotides in length. Their secondary structure includes four short double-helical elements and three loops (D, anti-codon, and T loops). The record is from RNAcentral. Lineage: Bacteria; Pseudomonadati; Myxococcota; Myxococcia.